CGAGGGUUUUUUACAAAAGCUACUUGAACUAGAGAGACAAUUCUUGAGGUUUCCCCGAGAAUCGUAUGAGAAGAAAAGACCAACGAAUUCGAGGAAGACGACUAUGGAAGAUGAUGAUGAUCCUUCUCUAAGCAAUUUUCCCUCUCAUUUUUGUUUUUUUCUUUGGGGGUUCGCUGUGAAACUCUCUUUGAAUAGUGUGAGUUCUGUGAACUCCGACUGAGGGAAAUGAUUCAU
This 234-nucleotide long non-coding RNA is filed under the name Capsella grandiflora. Its description in RNAcentral is "long non-coding RNA (CGRA_LNC000794)". Lineage: Eukaryota; Viridiplantae; Streptophyta; Magnoliopsida; Brassicales; Brassicaceae. The record is from RNAcentral.